This 35-nucleotide non-coding RNA is filed under the name unclassified sequences. RNAcentral's name for it is "DUF805b RNA". It matches the Rfam family "DUF805b RNA". From Rfam's summary of the family: Bacteroidetes, Chlorobi (1 example), Proteobacteria. Lineage (Flavobacteria) The record is from RNAcentral.
AUGGCGUAACCGAAAAGCCAAAAAUAGAGUAGGAC